AUUGAACGCUGGCGGCAGGCCUAACACAUGCAAGUCGAACGAGUGGCGGACGGGUGAGUAAUGUCUGGGAAACUGCCUGAUGGAGGGGGAUAACUACUGGAAACGGUAGCUAAUACCGCAUACCAUCAGAUGUGCCCAGAUGGGAUUAGCUUGUUGGUGGGGUAACGGCUCACAAAGGCGACGAUGCCUAGCUGGUCUGAGCGGGUGACCAGCCAGACUGGAACUGAGACACGGUCCAGACUCCUACGGGAGGCAGAAGUGGGGAAUAUUGGACAAUGGGCGAAAGCCUGAUGGAGCCAUGCCGCGUGUGUGAAGAAGGUCUUCGGGGUGUAAAGUACUUUCAGCGGGGAGGCGUUACCCGCAGAGAAAGCACCGGCUAACUCCGUGCCAGCAGCCGCGGUAAUAC
RNAcentral lists this ribosomal RNA (406 nucleotides) under uncultured bacterium. RNAcentral's name for it is "partial 16S ribosomal RNA". It matches the Rfam family "Bacterial small subunit ribosomal RNA", at positions 30 to 526 of the family's 1533-position model. The record is from RNAcentral.